Molecule: unclassified non-coding RNA, 283 nt
Filed under: Hevea brasiliensis (rubber tree)
Lineage: Eukaryota; Viridiplantae; Streptophyta; Magnoliopsida; Malpighiales; Euphorbiaceae
Source: RNAcentral
CCUACUCACAGGUCCCAAACAUCACCCUCCAAAACAAUUUACAUGGCUUAAUUUUACCCAUGUCACUCAAUUAUAUCAUAAAAAUUAUUUAAACUAAAUCUAAUAUUAUUUAAAUUUUUAUUUGAGAACUCUAACUAUAAACUGAACUGGAAAUCCCACAUUUGCAUUUUAAUUUGACAUUACUAGCUCAAUUUUUUGCUGAAACUCCCAUGGGAUCUAAUAAGAAAGAGAUUGAGUGGUAUCAAAUUUAAGUUGAAUGAUUUUUGUAAUACAAAUUGAAGUU